GAAAUGCGAUAAUUAAUGUGAAUUGCAGAAUUCAGUGAAUCAUCGAGUCUUUGAACGCACAUUGCGCCCCCUGGUAUUCCGGGGGGCAUGCCUGUCCGAGCGUCAUUGCUGCCCUCAAGCACGGCUUGUGUGUUGGGCUUCCGUCCCUGGCAACGGGGACGGGCCCAAAAGGCAGUGGCGGCACCAUGUCUGGUCCUCGAGCGUAUGGGGCUUUGUCACCCGCUCCCGUAGGUCCAGCUGGCAGCUAGCCUCGCAAUCAAUCUUUUUAACCAGGUUGACCUCGGAUCAGGUAGGGAUACCCGCUGAACUUAAGC
This 314-nucleotide unclassified non-coding RNA is filed under the name plant metagenome. RNAcentral's name for it is "partial contains 5.8S ribosomal RNA, internal transcribed spacer 2, and large subunit ribosomal RNA". The stretch from base 1 to 105 matches the Rfam family "5.8S ribosomal RNA", at positions 50 to 154 of the family's 154-position model. The record is from RNAcentral.